This 253-nucleotide ribosomal RNA is filed under the name uncultured bacterium. RNAcentral describes it as "partial 16S ribosomal RNA". It matches the Rfam family "Bacterial small subunit ribosomal RNA", at positions 524 to 776 of the family's 1533-position model. The record is from RNAcentral.
UACGGAGGGGGCUAGCGUUGUUCGGAAUUACUGGGCGUAAAGCGCGCGUAGGCGGACCUGCAAGUCGGGGGUGAAAGCCCGAGGCUCAACCUCGGAACUGCCUUCGAUACUGCGGGUCUCGAGUCCGGGAGAGGUGAGUGGAAUUCCUAGUGUAGAGGUGAAAUUCUUAGAUAUGACACAGAACACCAAUUGCGAAGGCAGCUCGCUAAACUGUAACUGACGCUGAGGCACGAAAGCGUGGGGAUCAAACAGG